UACUUCUUUUUUUUUUUUUUUUUUUUUUUACAGUUUCUGUCCCUAUUUACGUUCAGUGAAUGGAAAAGGGCAGCCUGGACAUUCUAUAGAAUAAGGCGAGAUGGAACUGUAGGAAGAAGCUGAAGAAGUUGAGAAAUACAUGCUGGCAGUUAUUCUGAAAAUGUCUGUUUCCCACCGGAAUGAAACUUAUACAGGCAAAACAAUGAAAAGCCCCCUCCGUUGGAGAGAGAGAGAGAGAGAAAGAGAGGGAUGGAAUGAGAAAGAGAGCGAGUGAAACCGAGUGAGUCAUGAGUGCAGCUUUGAACAACAAGGGGAAAUCCUCCUAUUGAGAGGCAUGCGCUGUGGAAACGCAUCACUCAUAGAGAUUUCUCCGAGGUUUUCUCAAGGCUUCCAUCUUAAUCACAGACCACACAUGCUGGAGAACGCUGAAAUUACACCAAAACAAGGGCAGAGUGUCUUGUGUAAGCAGUUUUUC
Molecule: long non-coding RNA, 475 nt
Organism: Sinocyclocheilus anshuiensis
Lineage: Eukaryota; Metazoa; Chordata; Actinopteri; Cypriniformes; Cyprinidae
Exons: 4
Source: RefSeq, a predicted model, not a curated record